Molecule: ribosomal RNA, 529 nt
Filed under: uncultured bacterium
Lineage: Bacteria
Description: bacterial SSU rRNA
Rfam family: Bacterial small subunit ribosomal RNA
Source: RNAcentral
UAGUCCAUGCUGUAAACGAUGUCUACUAGCUGUUGGAUUUGUAUAGAUUUAGUGGCGCAGUUAACGCACUAAGUAGACCGCCUGGGGAGUACGGCCGCAAGGUUAAAACUCAAAUGAAUUGACGGGGGCCCGCACAAGCGGUGGAGCAUGUGGUUUAAUUCGACGCAACGCGAAGAACCUUACCAGGCCUUGACAUCCUGAGAAGAAGCCAGAAAUGGUUUUGUGCCUUCGGGAACUUGGUGACAGGUGCUGCAUGGCUGUCGUCAGCUCGUGUCGUGAGAUGUUGGGUUAAGUCCCGUAACGAGCGCAACCCUUGUCCUUAGUUGCCAUUGAUUCGGUCGGGGACUUUAAGGAGGCUACCGGUGACAAACCGGAGGAAGGUGGGGACGACGUCAAGGUCAUCAUGGCCCUUACGGGCCUGGGGCUACACACGUGCUACAAUGGGGCCGUACAAAGGGGUUGCCAAGCCGCGAGGUGGAGCUAAUCUCAGAAAACCGAUCGUAGUCCGGAUUGGAGUCUGCAACUCGAC